RNAcentral lists this ribosomal RNA (629 nucleotides) under Bacillus sp. (in: firmicutes). RNAcentral's name for it is "bacterial SSU rRNA". It matches the Rfam family "Bacterial small subunit ribosomal RNA", at positions 56 to 667 of the family's 1533-position model. The record is from RNAcentral. Lineage: Bacteria; Bacillati; Bacillota; Bacilli; Caryophanales; Bacillaceae.
UGCAGUCGAGCGGACAGAUGGGGAGCUUGCUCCCUGAUGUUAGCGGCGGACGGGUGAGUAACACGUGGGUAACCUGCCUGUAAGACUGGGAUAACUCCGGGAAACCGGGGCUAAUACCGGAUGGUUGUUUGAACCGCAUGGUUCAAACAUAAAAGGUGGCUUCGGCUACCACUUACAGAUGGACCCGCGGCGCAUUAGCUAGUUGGUGAGGUAACGGCUCACCAAGGCAACGAUGCGUAGCCGACCUGAGAGGGUGAUCGGCCACACUGGGACUGAGACACGGCCCAGACUCCUACGGGAGGCAGCAGUAGGGAAUCUUCCGCAAUGGACGAAAGUCUGACGGAGCAACGCCGCGUGAGUGAUGAAGGUUUUCGGAUCGUAAAGCUCUGUUGUUAGGGAAGAACAAGUACCGUUCGAAUAGGGCGGUACCUUGACGGUACCUAACCAGAAAGCCACGGCUAACUACGUGCCAGCAGCCGCGGUAAUACGUAGGUGGCAAGCGUUGUCCGGAAUUAUUGGGCGUAAAGGGCUCGCAGGCGGUUUCUUAAGUCUGAUGUGAAAGCCCCCGGCUCAACCGGGGAGGGUCAUUGGAAACUGGGGAACUUGAGUGCAGAAGAGGAGAGUGGAAU